CCUACGGGAUGCAGCAGUGAGGAAUAUUGGUCAAUGGACGAGAGUCUGAACCAGCCAAGUAGCGUGAAGGAUGACUGCCCUAUGGGUUGUAAACUUCUUUUAUAAAGGAAUAAAACGAGGCACGUGUGCCUUUUUGCAUGUACUUUAUGAAUAAGGAUCGGCUAACUCCGUGCCAGCAGCCGCGGUAAUACGGAGGAUCCGAGCGUUAGCCGGAUUUAUUGGGUUUAAAGGGAGCGUAGAUGGGUUGUUAAGUCAGUUGUUAAAGUUUGCGGCUCAACCGUAAAAUUGCAAUUGAUACUGGCAGUCUUGAGUACAGUUGAGGUAGGCGGAAUUCGUGGUGUAGCGGUGAAAUGCUUAGAUAUCACGAAGAACCCCGAUUGCGAAGGCAGCUUACUAAACUGUGACUGACAUUGAUGCUCGAAAGUGUGGGUAUCAAACAGGAUUAGAUACCCCUGUAGUC
This 460-nucleotide ribosomal RNA is filed under the name uncultured bacterium. Its description in RNAcentral is "partial 16S ribosomal RNA". It matches the Rfam family "Bacterial small subunit ribosomal RNA", at positions 338 to 795 of the family's 1533-position model. The record is from RNAcentral.